CUAUACAUGCAAGUCGAGCGGACAGAUGGGAGCUUGCUCCCUGAUGUUAGCGGCGGACGGGUGAGUAACACGUGGGUAACCUGCCUGUAAGACUGGGAUAACUCCGGGAAACCGGGGCUAAUACCGGAUGCUUGUUUGAACCGCAUGGUUCAGACAUAAAAGGUGGCUUCGGCUACCACUUACAGAUGGACCCGCGGCGCAUUAGCUAGUUGGUGAGGUAACGGCUCACCAAGGCGACGAUGCGUAGCCGACCUGAGAGGGUGAUCGGCCACACUGGGACUGAGACACGGCCCAGACUCCUACGGGAGGCAGCAGUAGGGAAUCUUCCGCAAUGGACGAAAGUCUGACGGAGCAACGCCGCGUGAGUGAUGAAGGUUUUCGGAUCGUAAAGCUCUGUUGUUAGGGAAGAACAAGUGCCGUUCAAAUAGGGCGGCACCUUAACGGUGCCU
RNAcentral lists this ribosomal RNA (449 nucleotides) under Bacillus amyloliquefaciens. RNAcentral's name for it is "bacterial SSU rRNA". It matches the Rfam family "Bacterial small subunit ribosomal RNA", at positions 49 to 480 of the family's 1533-position model. The record is from RNAcentral. Lineage: Bacteria; Bacillati; Bacillota; Bacilli; Caryophanales; Bacillaceae.